This 381-nucleotide ribosomal RNA is filed under the name uncultured eukaryote. Its description in RNAcentral is "partial 18S ribosomal RNA". It matches the Rfam family "Eukaryotic small subunit ribosomal RNA", at positions 592 to 976 of the family's 1831-position model. The record is from RNAcentral.
CAAUAGCGUAUAUUAAAGCUGUUGCGGUUAAAAAGCUCGUAGUUGGAUUUCUGUCAAGGACAACUGGUCCGCCCCUCGGGUGAGCACAUAGUUUGGUCUUGGCAUCUUGUUGGAAACUGUUGCUGCAUUUGGUUGUGUGGCGCAGUGUCCAGCACUUUCACUUUGAGGAAAUUGGAGUGUUUCAAGCAGGCACAUGCCUUUGGACACAGUAGCAUGGAAUAAUUAGAUUGGGCUUUUGCUCCAACUUGUCGGUUUCUGGAGCUGAGGUGAGAAUUAAUGGGGAUUGUUGGGGGCAUCCGAAUUUAGCCGUCAGAGGUGAAAUUCUUGGAUCUGCUAAAGACGGACAACUGCGAAAGCGUUUGCCCAGGAUGUUUUCAUUGA